GAUGAACGCUGGCGGCGUGCCUAAUACAUGCAAGUCGAGCGAACGGACGAGAAGCUUGCUUUUCUGAUGUUAGCGGCGGACGGGUGAGUAACACGUGGAUAACCUACCUAUAAGACUGGGAUAACUUCGGGAAACCGGAGCUAAUACCGGAUAAUAUUUUGAACCGCAUGGUUCAAAAGUGAAAGACGGUCUUUCUGUCACUUAUAGAUGGAUCCGCGCUGCAUUAGCUAGUUGGUAAGGUAACGGCUUACCAAGGCAACGAUGCAUAGCCGACCUGAGAGGGUGGUCGGCCACACUGGAACGGAGACACGGUCCAGACUCCUACGGGAGGCAGCAGUAGGGAAUCUUCCGCAAUGGGCGAAAGCCUGACGGAGCAACGCCGCGUGAGUGAUGAAGGUCUUCGGAUCGUAAAACUCUGUUAUUAGGGAAGAACAUAUGUGUAAGUAACUGUGCACAUCUUGACGGUACCUAAUCAGAAAGCCACGGCUAACUACGU
RNAcentral lists this ribosomal RNA (496 nucleotides) under uncultured bacterium. Its description in RNAcentral is "partial 16S ribosomal RNA". It matches the Rfam family "Bacterial small subunit ribosomal RNA", at positions 28 to 506 of the family's 1533-position model. The record is from RNAcentral.